CGCUCACAGGGAGUAGAGUGUGUAGGGGAUGUGUUAUGUGUUACUGUAGAGGAUCUAAUGUGGUUGCCUACGGAAUGUAGUGUAUAGGGAUACCAGUUUGUGUAGGUGAUGCAGUGUUGUUUGUGUAAGGGAUAGAAAGCAGUGAGUGUUUGUGUAUAAGGGAUGUAUUGUGUGUUUCUUGUUGUGUGUAAGGGAUGCAUUGUGUGAAUCUGUGUUUGUAUGCAUAGUGUGUAUGUAAGGGAUGCAGUGUGUGUGUCUGUAAGGGGUGUGUUGAGUGUGUGUAAGAGAUGCAUUGUGUUUCUGUGUGUGUGUGUG
Molecule: non-coding RNA, 315 nt
Organism: Pelobates cultripes (western spadefoot toad)
Lineage: Eukaryota; Metazoa; Chordata; Amphibia; Anura; Pelobatidae
Source: the annotation of a GenBank genome assembly